UACGUAGGGUGCGAGCGUUAAUCGGAAUUACUGGGCGUAAAGAGUGCGUAGGCGGUUCUUUGUGUCCUCUGUGAAAGCCCCGGGCUUAACCUGGGAAUGGCAGUGGAAACUAGAGAACUUGAAUCUGGCAGAGGGGGGUGGAAUGCCACGUGUAGCAGUGAAAUGCGUAGAUAUGUGGCGGAACACCGAUGGCGAAGGCAGCCCCCUGGGCUGAGAUUGACGCUCAGGCACGAAAGCGUGGGGAGCAAACAGG
This 253-nucleotide ribosomal RNA is filed under the name uncultured bacterium. RNAcentral's name for it is "partial 16S ribosomal RNA". It matches the Rfam family "Bacterial small subunit ribosomal RNA", at positions 524 to 776 of the family's 1533-position model. The record is from RNAcentral.